This 273-nucleotide ribosomal RNA is filed under the name uncultured bacterium. Its description in RNAcentral is "partial 16S ribosomal RNA". It matches the Rfam family "Bacterial small subunit ribosomal RNA", at positions 524 to 796 of the family's 1533-position model. The record is from RNAcentral.
UACGGAGGGUGCAAGCGUUGUCCGGAUUUAUUGGGUUUAAAGGGUGCGUAGGCGGCUUAUUAAGUCAGGGGUGAAAGACUAUUGCUUAACAAUGGCAGUGCCUUUGAUACUGAUAGGCUUGAGUACAGCUGAGGCAGAUGGAACGGGUGGUGUAGCGGUGAAAUGCAUAGAUACCAUCCAGAACACCGAUUGCGAAGGCAGUCUGCUAAACUGUAACUGACGCUGAGGCACGAAAGCGUGGGGAUCGAACAGGAUUAGAAACCCCCGUAGUCC